RNAcentral lists this ribosomal RNA (739 nucleotides) under uncultured archaeon. RNAcentral's name for it is "bacterial SSU rRNA". It matches the Rfam family "Archaeal small subunit ribosomal RNA", at positions 53 to 795 of the family's 1478-position model. The record is from RNAcentral.
GCGAGUCAAUGUAGCAAUACAUGGCAUACUGCUCAGUAACACGUGGAUAACCUGCCCUUGGGACCGGCAUAACCCCGGGAAACUGGGGAUAAUUCCGGAUAACGCAUAUAUGCUGGAAUGCUUUAUGCGUGAAAUGGAUUCGUCUGCCCAAGGAUGGGUCUGCGGCCUAUCAGGUAGUAGUGGGUGUAAUGUACCUACUAGCCUACAACGGGUACGGGUUGUGAGAGCAAGAGCCCGGAGAUGGAUUCUGAGACAUGAAUCCAGGCCCUACGGGGCGCAGCAGGCGCGAAAACUUUACAAUGCGGGAAACCGUGAUAAGGGGACACCGAGUGCCAGCAUCAUAUGCUGGCUGUCCAGGUGUGUAAAAUACACCUGUUAGCAAGGGCCGGGCAAGACCGGUGCCAGCCGCCGCGGUAACACCGGCGGCCCGAGUGGUGAUCGUGAUUAUUGGGUCUAAAGGGUCCGUAGCCGGUUUGGUCAGUCCUCCGGGAAAUCUGACAGCUCAACUGUUAGGCUUUCGGGGGAUACUGCCAGACUUGGAACCGGGAGAGGUAAGAGGUACUACAGGGGUAGGAGUGAAAUCUUGUAAUCCCUGUGGGACCACCAGUGGCGAAGGCGUCUUACCAGGACGGGUUCGACGGUGAGGGACGAAAGCUGGGGGCACGAACCGGAUUAGAUACCCGGGUAGUCCCAGCCGUAAACGAUGCUCGCUAGGUGUCAGGCAUGGCGCGACCGUGUC